GGGCCCGCACAAGCGGUGGAGUAUGUGGUUUAAUUCGAUGCAACGCGAAGAACCUUACCAACACUUGACAUGUUCGUCGCGACUUUUAAGAGAUUAAAGUUUUCGGUUCGGCCGGACGAAACACAGGUGCUGCAUGGCUGUCGUCAGCUCGUGUCGUGAGAUGUUGGGUUAAGUCCCGCAACGAGCGCAACCCUCACUUUUAGUUGCCAUCAUUAAGUUGGGCACUCUGAAAGAACUGCCAGUGAUAAGCUGGAGGAAGGUGGGGAUGACGUCAAGUCCUCAUGGCCCUUACGUGUUGGGCUACACACGUGCUACAAUGGUAUCUACAACAGGAAGCAAAACGGCAACGUUAAGCAAAUCCUUAAAAGAUACCUCAGUUCGGAUUGCACCCUGCAACUCGAGUGCAUGAAGCUGGAAUUACUAGUAAUCGU
This 431-nucleotide ribosomal RNA is filed under the name uncultured bacterium. Its description in RNAcentral is "bacterial SSU rRNA". It matches the Rfam family "Bacterial small subunit ribosomal RNA", at positions 917 to 1345 of the family's 1533-position model. The record is from RNAcentral.